UGAUUCUAAAAGCAAAGUAAUAAUUAUAGAAAGAUCAAGUUGCAUAAAUAUUGAAGGUAAAUAAGAGUUUAAUAAUGGAGAUUUAAAUCUCCCAAUUCAUCACAAAUCGGAAAUUCACCAACUUCAACUAGAAAAGAAUGGAAUUUAGCCACUCAUGGUGGACUAAAUCACAAAAGAAAGAAGAAAAGAAAGAAGGAGAAUUUCUGCCAAGAAUCUCUGCUGUGGAGAGAAGAUAUGUUUGCUGGUUUGGGCUGCCUCCUUUUAUAGGUGAGGAAUCCCAAUCCAAUUAGGUUUUGGAAUCCUAAAUUGGAUUGGUCCUUGUCUUUGAUCUCUUCUUUAAUUGUGAAUAAAUCUUCUUCUUGAGGAGGUCUAUCUUGAGAGUGACUCUUUGAGAUGCCCUAGGAUUGAUCUUGAAGUGUUUGAGAGGGGUUAGGACUUCUUUAUUUUAAAUCUUGAAUUUUUGCACUUUCCCGCUUCUGCUGUAUUUUCUGCUGUCAAUGUGAUUGGGGCGGGUGAUUUGGGCAGAUCACUUGCCCCAAUCGCUUUUCCGUGAGUCAGUCCAGCUUUCAGCUUUCUGUCUCUGCGAGUGAUUUGGGCAGGCAAUUUGGGCAGAUCACUUGCCCAAAUCCCUUCUGACUGUUGCCUCCAGGUUUCUACUUCAGUUUGAUCUGGGCAGUGAUUUGGCCAAAUCGCUUUGACCCAAUCACUUUUCCAGCUUUUUCUGCACUUUUUCUCCAACUUUCCAUUUUCUUCAUUUUCUGUAAAAACAAGACAAAAACCAUAAAUUAAGCUAGAAAAUGUGUAAUUAAACAGUAAUAAAUAUACUAAAAAUGUGGCUAAAUUAUGCUUGAUCAAAUACCCCCACACCUAGCUUUUUGCUUGUCCUCAAGCAACAAAUAACUUAGUCAAUCAAGCUCCUCAUUCUUUUGAGCCUAAGUACCACUUAAUCAGCCCCCCCCUAAAUUCCCAAAUUGAAGUAUUACAGUAUAGAGUACAUGCACUAAGGUUGUUCUCCCUUUUCCUUGUUUCCUUUCACCUACCAUGGCCAAGAGAAAGGUUUUUGGUUCAACCAUGCGUAUUCUCCUUGUAUAAGCUCAAUGCAACAUCUAAGAGUGAUUUGCCCUUCUUUUUAAUCACACUUUUUAUUCAGCAGCACUUAUUUAUUCUUGCCUGAAAAAUUCACCAACCUUUUUACGCGAAGGUGCAUAUUGGUGAUACCCACCCCCGGUUACUCAGUUAGUCACUUGUUCAAGUCGCUACUAGCUCUGUUCAUAGUUCAUUUGACCAUUGGAACAGGUUUAUGAUUUGUGUUUUGUGCUGGUUUUUCUUUUUCUUUUCUUUUCAUAACAGUUUGGGCAAAUCACCUCAUAGGGAGUUACACUAACUUUUUAUUUGCAUGUAUUUAUAUUUUUAUUUCCCUUGACCACAACACAUUUAAGGAUUCAAUUCAAGAAAAGAACUUCUUAAGGGAAGGUAACUGUAAUACCCGGCUAGACUCCGGUAUCGGAAUUCCUACCGUCUGGUGGAAUCUCGGAUGUCGGAAGCCUCUAGAAGGGGAAAAUCAUGUUUUCAUAGAAUGUUUUAAUGAGUUUUAUGUUGUAAGCAUGAAAGAAAAUGAUUUUUUGCAUGAAAAUAGCAUUUGAGGAAAACUCAGGUUGGCCGCCGAACCUCAAGUUCGGCCGCCGAACAUGCAUGCAUUGCGGGUGUGCUUUAGGCCCCCGAAAGCAUAAGUGAGGGAAGUCCAGGUUCGGCCGCCGAACCUCAUGUUCGGCCGCCGAACAUGGCAUGCAUGCGGAGGCACAUUCGGCCCCCGAACGUGGUCUGGCCAGCCACUAUAAAAGGGUCCCUUAGCCGAAAACGGGCGAGCUUUUUCCCCAUUUUCGGCCAAGGUGAGCUCUCCGCCGUCCCUCACCAAUCUUUGAUAUUUUCCUCUAGAUCUUUCAAGAUUUUCAUUUGUUUUAACUUUGUUUUGAAGAUUUGAGCUUUUGAGCAAAGUUUUGGAGCUUGGAGGUUCAAGAACCCUCUCUCUCCCACCUCCGAGUUUUAGGUCGUCUCUCUCUCGAUCUUCAAGAGGUAAGAGCCGAUCUUAAACUCAUUGCAUGUUUAAAGUAAGUUUUAAGUAGAUCUUUGGGGGUAGAAUGCAUGUUUAGGUUAUAGUUAUGUUUAUGGGUAUAAAUGUAUGUUCUUGAGCAAUGUGGAUGCUUGAUGUGUUGUAGAUGGGGUUUAUGAUGGUUUGAGGCCCCUAGGAACAUGUAUGCUGGUGUAUGUGUGUUGUAGAAUAGGUUUGAUGCAUGUUUGGAAGGUUUGGAGGCGAAAUGUGCAAAGGGAGCCAAGUUUCUGCCCUUUGGCAGAAACCAGGUUCGGCAGCCGAAGGACUUUCGGCCGCCGAACAUGGCUGGGGAGGCAGCCUUUCGGCUGCCGAAGCUUGCCCCCGAGAGGAGACUUUCGUCUCUGUCGGGCAGUUUCGGCCGCCGAAAGUGCCGCCGAACAUGCAUGAGUUUCGUCUUUGUCUGGGAGUUUCGGCCGUCGAAGGUGCCGCCGAACCUGCCUGACUUUCGGCUCUGGAGGGACUUUCGGCCGCCGAACCUGCCGCCGAAAGUGCCCUGUACAGGCCUCCUUUGCAUGAUUUUGUAUGGUUGUCUCAUGAUGUUUUAGGGGGUUCUUGGGGAUUAAUUUAUAGUUAUGUUCAGGUGUGUUUGGUCCCUCAUUUGAGUCCACCUGUGUAGGUUCAGACCCGAGGAACCGAGGACCCCAGCAGUGAGUUCGGCUGCUUCGGUGUUGUCAGAGUCUGCCAGAGGUGAGUGGAACUAAACUUAAUCUCUUAAAUUGAGAAAUUAAAUGUUUUAUCAUGUUUCAUGCAUCAUGAUUAUGCAAUAGGGUGAUUGCAUUAGUUUUCAAGAAUAUGCCGCAUUGCAUCGAUUGUUGUUGAUGUGGGUGAAUAUUGGAUGACCCAAUUAGUCCAUGACAGGAAGACCAGGACCCCAUUCUACGGCCUGGCAUAGAGUAAGGAAAGACCAGGACCCCAUUCUACGGCCUGGCACGGUUAUGGGACUCGAAGACCAGGAGCCCAGAGGAGGCCCUGAGGCAAUGGUAAGUAAUGUAUGUUAUGACAGGAAGACCAGGACCCCAUGCUACGGCCUGGCACAGAGUUAACUUGGACUAAUUGGUGACAAGUUCACCCAACCCUUAUGUGAAUUGUCUGUGUUAUGAUGCAUUUCAUAGAGCAUAGUGUUAAUAUGUUUUAUAGUUCUGCUCACUGGGCUUUUAGCUCACCCCUCUCCCUUUACCCCCAGGCUUGCAGGUUCAGGAUAGAGCAGGAGUCCGGAUAGAGUAAUGAAGUUUUGUUUAUGUAAUAGCUAGCAAUGGACAUGAUCAAAUUGUAAUGUAAAGUCUUAAUCAGUAUAGUUAUGUAAUGAGAUGAUGUUUAUGGAUGUUAGAAGCGUGCUUGACCAUAGAUUGUUGUUAUCCCUUUUAAUACAUGAUCUUAGAGAUUUUUAUGAUGUUUAUGUAAACCAACUCAACAUAUGUUAUGUCACCCAUUGGGGGCACUGAUGAUAUCCCACAGAGGGAUCAAUGUUUAUGAUUUAUGUUAUGUACAGUGCAUGCACAGGUUGAGUUGGGUUGAUGUAUAUGGAAAGAAAAGUUUUUAAUUUUUAUGCAUGUUGUUGAUCAUGUAUGGGAUUAUACAGGUUUACAGGUUUCAUGUCAGGCUUGCUACGGGUCCCGACGGCCUUAAGCCGAUCUGGAUCCUAGCGCCGGUAGCGGUCCGAUUUUCGGGUCGUUACAGUAACACACUGUAAUUGAUUCAAUUUAGGCUUAAAGGGGUGGAAAAUCAAUGGAGUUAUGAGAUAGGAAGCUUUUUUUAACCUUGUUAUCUAUGCUGAGUAGAGCAAUAGCUAAGACAAAAUUCUCUGUGUGUGUGCAGGAAGUGAAAAAUUUGUGUAAAGAAUUUUGGUGUGUGUUUAUGGGGAAAAAAAGAUGCAAAAAGAAACAAAAAGAAAGCAAAAAGAUAAUGUAAACGAAAAAAAUAUAACCUAACAGUAAAUACCCCCACACCUAUCCCAAACAUUUUCCUCAAUGGUUAAACAUUUAUAUUAAAAAAAAAUUAAUAAGGAGAAGGAAAGGGACUGCCUGAUCUGUGGGCGAUUUGGCCAAUGAUUUGGGCAAAUCACUUGCCAAAUCACUGUCUGUCAUGGUGGUGGGACAGAAAAUGGUCCACCAGCAGCUGCAGCAUGCUUUCCAUGUGAUGCAUCCUGUCUUCGAUUCUGGUGAGAUGAGCCUCCACCGAAUGGUCUUGAGGUGCCUUUUAUGUCCUCCAAGGUCCACCCAAUUGCUUCUUUGUGCUUCCUCAACACUUCUAGGAGUUUUUCUUCUUCUUGUGGGCUGAGCUGGUUGGAAAUUAUAACUGGAAGUGUAUUUCCAGCUCCCAAGAAGGCAUAUUUGAGGUGUUCUGGUAAGGGCUUCAGAUCUGGUGCAUUUGCUGUCUGCUGGUUUCCUGUCUGCUGUCUGCUGGUUGAUUUGGGCAGAUCAUAUGGUGUUGUUUCAGGUGAUCUGGGCAGAUCACUGUCUGUCUUGUUUGUCUGCUCCAGUGAUUUGGGCAAAUCACCUGCAACCAGCUGUGAACAGUACUCCAUCUGGUCUGUCUUGGUGCUGCUGCUGUCUGUCUCUUCAGAUCUGCACAAGUCAGCAUUGAGUGUGUCCUCUAGAUCAAAGUCAAAAAUUUCUUGACUUAAAUCAUCAAUUAUAUCAAGGCCAUAAACAGGAGAAACAUCAUUGGGGAAUUUCAUAGCAUCAUAAACAUUAAACUUGAUAGCUUCCCCUUCAAACUCCAUGGUCAAUGUGCCAUCAUGCACAUCAAUUUUUGUUCUGGCUGUGCUCAAGAAUGGUCUCCCAAGUAGGAUGUCAAAGGUGACUUUGUCCUUAUCCUCCUCCAUGUCAAUCACAUAAAAAUCUGCUGGGAAGACUAGUUGGUUAACUUGUACCAACACAUCUUCUAGCACGGAUAGACGACGGAUCGGUCAGCCAAUUGGAUCCCAAUGCUGGUGCCCUUGAGUGUGCCUGCAUUCAACAAGUUAAAGAUGGAAAGGGGCAUGACAUUGAUUGAAGCCCCAAGGUCACACAUGGCCUUCUUUAUCCCAACGUUGCCUAUUUUGCAUGAAACAGCGAACAUUCCUCUAUCCUUGCAUUUGGUUGGAACUUUUCUUUGAAUGACAGCUGAGACACACUCCCCCACACUUACCUUUUCACAUUCAUCAAGUUUCCAUCGGUUGGUGCAUAGCUCUUUGAGAAACUUGGCAUACCUUGGAAUUUGCUUCACAGCAUCUAAUAGGGGAAUGUUGAUUUCUACCUUGCGGAGUGUCUCAAGUAUUUCUUUCUCCUCUUUCUCCUUUUGGGACCUUGUAAAUCUCUUUGGAAAGGGAGGAGGUACAGCUGGUCUGCCUUGGUCUGUUUGGAGCUAGACUCUGCCUGGAUUAUUGAUUUGGGCAGAUCGAAUUCUGCCUUGUCUGGUGAUUUGGGCAGAUCACUGCUGGGCAGCUCAGUCUGCCUAGCGAUUGGGUCAGUGAUUUGGGCAGAUCGACUGCCCUGAUUACUUUCUGGCAGAUUCUCCUCCAUGGCUUGUUUCUUCAAUUUCUCAGCCUUGCUGUCUUGCAGCUCUUUUCCACUCCUCAAUGUGAUGGCACUAACAUUUUGUCUUGGAUUUAUCUCAGUUUGGGAUGGUAGCUUCCCUUGUGACUCCCAUUUGCUCAUUGAAGUGGCCAUUUGGCUCACUUGUUGCUCAAGAUUUUGCACAGUAUUUGCUAAGGACUUCACAAUCUCUUCAAAGGGUGUAUUGGAAUUUUGAGGUGCAGCUUGGGCUGGAUUCCAUUGCUGAUAGCUUGGAUAUGGAUUGGCCCUUGCAUAGUCAUAAUUCGGGUGGUCCCUCCAACAUGGAUUGUAGGUAUCAAGGUAAGGAUCAUGUCUUGGCUGGCUAUUGAAUCCUUCAAAGGCACGUACUUGCUAGUAAUCCUCAUAAAGUGUAGGACAUCGAUCAGUUGGGUGUCCUACAUAUUUGCAAAUCUCACAUGGUCUGAUUCGCUGAAGUUGUUGAACUUGUUGAGCUUGACCUAUACCAUAAUUUCUCACAACAGAGCUUAGUUCAGAAAUUUGAGAAGAGAGAAAAGACAUACUUACCGUAGCCAUGCUUGUAAGGUCUUGGCAAUGCGUUCAAUUUCUGGAUCGUAAAGAAGAGCUUGUUUACGAUCAGCCCUGGUCAUAAAAAGGAAAAUACGUUAGUUAGAUCAAAUCCCCGGCAACGGCGCCAAUUUUUGAUAGCGGUUGUCCAAGCCGUAAAAAAUAAACCUAUUAUCAACCAACAAAAUAAAUUGCAGAUAGUGGCAAUAGGGUCGAACCACAGGGAUUUGACACUACGAAUUUUUCUAUUAAUGACUUGGACAAGUAAAUAACAAGUAAUUAAAAGAGGGGGGUUUGAUUUGAUGAAUUAAUAUUAAAUAGCAAGAGAAAGCAAUAAUUUAAAAAGAUGAGAAUUUCAAUGGGAGAAGGAUUCUAGUUGAAGCAUGGAUCUAUUUCAGCUUGUUUAGAAUUGAUCAUUUAUCUUUUUGAUACUCUUAUCUAUUUCAAUAACUUAGUUUAGGACGUGGAAGACGCUUCUCACAAUCCAAAUUCCUCCUUAGUUUUAGUUUGACUAGGAAACGUUCGCUACUCAAACUCUAGUUAACAAGUUGCCAAAGAACGUCCUUGGGGCUUUUAGCAUCGAACAACUGUUAACUGUAUUAGGACUUAGAGGAACCCAACUCUAACCUUGCCAACCGCGUGGUCAAGUUUAGAUUAUACAACCGAUUAUAUUUGUGUUUAAAUAAUCUAAGCAAUUACGGACCUAAAUUAUUCAAACAAUAUAUUACUCAAGCAAUUUAAAAGCAACAGGCCUUAAUUGAUUCUAAAAGCAAAGUAAUAAUUAUAGAAAGAUCAAGUUGCAUAAAUAUUGAAGGUAAAUAAGAGUUUAAUAAUGGAGAUUUAAAUCUCCCAAUUCAUCACAAAUCUGAAAUUCACCAACUUCAACUAGAAAAGAAUGGAAUUUAGCCACUCAUGGUGGACUAAAUCACAAAAGAAAGAAGAAAAGAAAGAAGGAGAAUUUCUGCCAAGAAUCU
Molecule: long non-coding RNA, 7145 nt
Filed under: Manihot esculenta (cassava)
Lineage: Eukaryota; Viridiplantae; Streptophyta; Magnoliopsida; Malpighiales; Euphorbiaceae
Description: long non-coding RNA (MESC_LNC010507)
Source: RNAcentral